This 6168-nucleotide long non-coding RNA is filed under the name Gossypium barbadense (sea-island cotton). RNAcentral's name for it is "long non-coding RNA (GBAR_LNC001726)". The record is from RNAcentral. Lineage: Eukaryota; Viridiplantae; Streptophyta; Magnoliopsida; Malvales; Malvaceae.
UUCAUCUGUAGAAGAAGCAAUAGAGACACGAAAUGCUGUUUACAACCUACAAUGGCCACCUAAUGGUGGACGCCUAUUGGUGGCUGACUUUGUUGAUCCCCAGGAAGUUAAAACCCGGCUUGAUGCUCCACCACAGACUCCAACUACUCCUGGGACUUCUGGUUCUACUGCUCCUCAAGCUCAACCUUCUCAGCCCCAGCCCUCUCCACGUCAGCAGGUUUCUAGACAGCAGCAUCCACCGCCUUCUGCACUUCCUCCACCACCGCCUUUGUCUAACCCUCCACCAGUUAGAGAAAGGCUCCCUCUUCCUCCACCACCUGCAGAGAAAGUAGAUCCUCCUAUUGUCACUCUGGAUGAUCUAUUUUGGAAAACCAAAGCAAUUCCUCGUAUCUACUAUUUGCCUUUGUCUGAUGAACAAGUUGCAGCAAAGCAAGCAGCACAUGGCAGAAACAUCUAGCAGUAGAGAUGAGGCUAUAGUUUUAUCCCUGGCUGCUCUUCUGGUUUUCGUAUCGGUUGGUCUGUACCUUAGAUAAUGGUAAGAAAACUGUCACAUAAUUGCAUGUUUGCAGGUCUGCAGGUUUUGCUUUAUAGGAAGGAAUUGUUGCAGCCGUGCAGAGGGAACUUGUCCAGUGAUGGGUAUUGGUUUUUCUGCCGGCUACUUGUGGGCUUGAGUUCAAGUUCCAUUUAGCACUAAAAUCCUUCAAAACUGAGAUCUCUCUGUAGUAAUGGAUCGAUUAUCCUUUGUUCUAAUUUGGUUUUCCUACAGAACAAUAGCCUCAACUCUUAUGAACCUGAUUUUGUAGAAUUUAACUUUUACUCUGGAUGUUAAUUUUACAUAGAUUUGUUAAAAGUGAAUGUAGGCUUUACUCAUUUGUAUGUGUAGUUUCAUCCAGGGUUUUUAUCAUUUAUUUAUGUAUGUGCAACGUGCUUUGAACCUGAUGAUUGAGGUUCUUCUCUCCAUCUCAUACCUUGGAUUGAGCUUCGUUUGAGAUUAGAUUUUAUUUUAUGGCAAAAACCAAAAACUAUUAGAUGAAGAUUUUUAAAGUAUUCACGGUUCACAAUGUUAGUAUUUAUAAUUGAUAAAUACAUUUAUGAAAAAUAAAUUAUUAAAAUUUCACAAAUUAUAAAAAUAUUUAAUAUGGAUGUAAUUAUAUUUGUAAAAUUUUAUAAAUACUCCUAAUAGAAUAAAAAAUUUGAAAUAUAUGCAUCAUAAUGGUAAAUUCGGUCCCACUUAAAGUUUUUGCACAAAUAGGAGUUAUAUUAAAUGGGCUAAAUUUGGUUAAUAUGCUGGGUUUUUUUUAACUAGGGGUUUAGGUCGGUUUUAAAAUUAAUUAAGGAAAUAAGUCAUUUUUAAGAGGGAGAAAGUGAAAGUAUGUCCAGUUAGACGUGCUUUUCUUCAAUGGUAAAAUACAACAGCUUUUUGAUCGUUGCUGAGCCAAACGGUGAAAAGAAAUUGUCAAAAAAAAUUUAAAAUCUCCAAAUGACAAUUUUUUUUAACUUAAAAAUACCUCCCAUUUUUUUUUCAUUCACAUUCUUUUCUCAAUUCUCUCAAGCUUUUUAUUCAAUAUUUAUUUAUAUUUUUAUUUAAAAUAUUAUUUUUUAAUUAUAUUGUAUUUUAUUCACUCGGGUCAAUUUUUAAAAAAUAGACGCCUCUCUAAUUUACUUUGAUGACAACCAUAUUUCCACUGCCCAAUUAGCAAUGAUAAGAUGAAAUUUAAAAUGUCGCUUUUUUAAUUAUGUUAAUUUUUUUUUGAUAAGUCUAAAUAUUUUUUAUGUUAUAAAUAGGCGGAGAGCCUCCGAUUCCUGAAAUUCAUGGAUACAGACAAGAGGUCGGAUUAUUGCAUGCCUCUCUCAUAUAAGGGACUUGCUAUCUUUGCAAAAAACGCAUCUAGCUGGACACAUUUUUACUUUCUCUCUCCUAAAAAUAACAUAUUUCUCUAAUCAAUUUUAAAAUUGACCUAAAGUUCAAAUUGAAAAAUAAAAGGGUAUAUUAAUUAAAUUUAGCCUAUUAAAUGUCAUUUUAAAUAUUUUACAUAUUUUAAAUAUUGAUAAUGUUCUUUUGAAAGAAAUUGAGUUAUUAAAUUUUUUUUUUAAAUUAUACAUAAAAAUUUAAAAUAAUUACCAAAAAAGUAGAUCCAUUUUAUAAUUUUAAAAACCUUUAUAGUUUAUACCUCCUCAAUUUCGAUGAAAAUACGAUCAAGAAGGGCAAUUUAGGCAUUUCAAUAAAACCAAAAUGGGUUUUUCUAGAACAAUUGGUCUCUGCCUUUUUGGAUUCGAUAAUAAUGGUUUUUUUUUUUUAAAAACCCUAAUUUCACCAUUGUUUCAAUUUUCUCCCCAUUUUCUCUCUCAAAAUCCUAAAAAGAAAAGAACAACCAGGUUAUAUUAUAUUCAAAACAGCCAAAAAAUAAAAAUCAAUUGCUCAUCAACCACUCUCUCAUAAAAUUCAUUUUCUAUUUUCCAUUUACUUUUUUUAUUUUGUUUUUUUCUUCUAAUUUUUCCUUAUUUUCAAUAACUUUCUCUUUGUUGAAAACUAGGGUUUGCGCUAAUGGUGGGUUUUGUCUGUUGAAAUUAGGGUAUUUUUGGGAUAAAUAUUCAAUUCUCCUGUAAGGGAAGUGUGGUUGUAGUGGCUUCCCAAAUAUAUAGGCCUGUGAGUAAUCUCUAUUUCUUUCCUCUCUGCAUGCAUUUUUAAUGGGUGUUAUUGCAAUUUUUUUUUUUAAAUACGAUUAGUUUUUGGUGUGAUUGUUUCAGUUCAUUAGUUUCUUGGUAAAUCGGCAUUUCGUUUCUUGCUGGUUAUGAUUUUUUUUUUCAUUACCGAAGCUAGGAUACAGAAAAUUUUGGGCUGAAAAUGUAUUUACUGUUUUUUAUGCCUUAUUUUGUUCAGUAUUUGUGCUUUUUGGGAGAAAGGGGAACUUUCUUGUAUAUAUACUUUGUCCAGGCAAAUAAGUUUUUUUUUUUGAACCCUCGUUUUGUGGUGUCAGGUUUUGUGUUGACUAAAUACUUCAUUGCUUUCCUUUUAUAUAUUUUACAUGAAGAUUUGCUAUUCUUCUGGGUUAAUUUCUUGUAAUUAUUUUCUUGGCUCUACUGCAUUUAUUCAAAUUGUUUAAACAGCUAUAUAUCAUUCCUUCGGCUCCUUUAUUUCUGCUACCUUAUAAGCAUGGCUUAACUUUAUUUUGCAGUAUAACAUGCUUUCUUUGGUCUUGUUGGCGCUUUCUUUCUACUGCACAUGUUUUACUAGAAUUUUUUUGUUUGGCUUUUUUUGUGAAUGACUGAGAAAUGUGACCUUUUCUAGUAGGUUUGAAGGUGAGUUUGGGUUGGAAAAGAUGUCAUCAAAAUAUCAAAUACUUGACAAUAGACCAAUUGAUCAAUGGAAGGUUACAGAGUUGAAAGAAGAACUUAAGAGGCGGAAACUGACAAUUCGGGGCUUGAAAGAGGAGUUGGUAAGACGUUUGGAUGAGGCCCUUAGAUUGGAAAGGGAAAAUGCUGAAACUGAGGAAGAUAAUGGUUUUAAUUCUGAUCCCCAGCCUACAGAUGAGGGAGGGAUUGAAAAGGCAAUGGCAGUUAUUGUUGAGACAGUUAAAGAUGAUGUGGAUCAUAGUAGCAGUGAGAUCAAGAAGGAGAGUGGGGUGAAGGUUCAUGUUGACAUUAAUGAGAGUGCAGCUGCUUUGGGUCAUGAAGGAGUUCAAGGAAGCGACAGCUUGGUGGAAAAGGAGCUUGUUUCUGAAACCACUACUAUUCAGACUGAGAUAAUGGUUACCAAGAAUGUGGUAUCUGAGGUACCAUCUACUGAGAAAGAGAGCUCAGGGCAAAAUGAGAAUGUGUAUACUGAUAUCAAAGUGGAGAGUGAGGAUCCUAAGCUCCAGUUCGAGACUGAUGAUCCAAAGCCUGAGGUGGAGAAUGAUGAUCCAAAGGGCCAACUGCAGGGUUCAAAUCCUCAGCUGGAGGGUGAUGAUGAUUCGAAGCCUCAGCUGGACAUUGAAGAUUCGAAGGUGCAGCUGGAGAACGAGGGUUUGAAGGUUCUACACGAGGAUGACGUGCAUGAUUCUUCUGCUCCGAACAUCCAGGUAUCUGAGGUCAGCCCUGAUUUAGGGUUGCAAGUAAAAUCUGAUUCUAUAUCUACUGAUUCUGUCUCAAAUAAUGAAAAGAUUGAAUUAAAGGAUAAUAUACUUGCUGAUAAUGUCAAAUUAGACUUAGAUGUUGUAAAGCCAGAGAUGGUGGAACCAUCAUCCAGCAAUGUUGUCCCAAUUAGUGGUGAAUCACAUCCAAUGGAUGUUGAAGAUCCGCCUGAGAACAAGGCACCUGUUGAUGGGAGAGAUGGCAAGAAUGUUACAAAUGUAGACAUGGGUAAUAAAAAUGACAGUGCUGAGACAACCUACUCGGAAAAAUUAAAUUUGGAUAGAAGUUCUGGUGAUGACUCUAUGGAGGAGGAUAUGCUUGAGAGUAAACAAAUUGAUUCAAAAUCUAGUACUGAUGAAAUGGGAGAUAAGAGUGAGAAUAAUGGAGCACCUAUUAUCAAGGAGAAAAGUCCUCUUGGUGAUGUAAGAGAUGAUUUAUCUGUAGAUAAAAAGGACACCUUGGUUGAGAAUAAGAGCCGGUCUUUUGUUCCUGCUGAGAAAAGAAAGCGUCAUGGUAAGUGGCAACGGCCUGCAAUUGUUAGUGUCUUUCUUUGCAUGUGUGCAUACUUUUACCUUACUGAUAGCAUUUUGAAGCUAAGGUGAUUGGAUAGUAGUGCUUGUACUUAAUGGACAUUCUUAAGACAGAUAACUUAAGGUGGUUUUUUGAAACAUGAUCUGCUUAAGUUGCAGUUCUGGAAGGUGAUAAUCUUGUUUUUAAGUUUUUAUUUAUUUGAUAGUUAAUACACUAUUUUAGUUUUUUUUUUCCAUGCUUUACAUGUUCUAAAAGAGCUUUACGUGUUAGAGUGCUGCAUCUUUGGUUUGAAGUUAAUGUAUAUAGUUUUUGGCUAGAAAUUGCUGUGAUGUUCAUUCUUAGUGCUUUUAUUAGUUCCUAUGACUGCCUGGAGCAUUAGAAACAAAAUUAUAGAUAUAUCUAAUAUUGAGCUUUCUCUGUUAUCAAGAGAGUUCAUUUUUUAAAUUUGAUCAGACAUGAGAAUGAAAUUAAUGUAGUUUCCUACUGGGUUAAUGGGCAAUUCUCACCUGAUGAGCUGUCUUUACAGAUCAGGAACCUGUUGGUAACAAUGAGCUUGCAAAACGGCGCAAAUGGAAUUCUGACAAUAUAGAAGUUACAGAACAUCAAGGCUCUAAUCUUACACCCAUCAGCACACCUAAAGACACCCCUCAGCCUGCUGCUUUGAGACGUAACUUCUCUAGAUCAGACUCAACAGCAAGUGAAGGUGCACAAAAGGAACGAGUUGGUGAGUUGUCAUCUCUCAGUCAGCUGAUACGAAUUGAACUUUGCUGAUUGUUGUUUUAACAUCUAAAUGGUUUCUGUUUCAUCUUUAUUUGGCAGUUCCCCCUUCUCAAAAUGCUCCUACCACGUCCCUCAGAAUUGAUCAUUUUCUGCGCCCUUUUACCUUGAAAGCUGUACAAGAACUUCUAGGGAAAACUGGGACUGUAACUAGCUUCUGGAUGGACCACAUUAAGACCCAUUGCUAUGUUACAGUAAGACUUAUUGCUUUGUUUCCAUCUCCUCCGAUGGGACUUUCGUGGUCUAUGAUCAAUUACUCAUGUUGGCCUUUUAUUGUUGGUCCGAUUCAAUAUAUCUAAUCAACUUUGGGAAUUGCUUUAUUGGUGCAGUAUUCAUCUGUAGAAGAAGCAAUAGAGACACGAAAUGCUGUUUACAACCUUCAAUGGCCACCUAAUGGUGGCCGUCUAUUGGUGGCCGACUUUGUUGAUCCCCAGGAAGUUAAAACUCGGCUUGAUGCUCCACCACAGACUCCAACUACUCCUGGGACUUCUGGUUCUACUGCUCCUCAAGCUCAACCUACUUCUCAUCCCCAGCCAUCUUUGCGUCAGCAGGUUUCUAGGCAGCAGUUUCCACCACCUUCUGCACUUCCUCCACCACCACCUUUGCCUAACCCUCCACCAGUUAGAGAACGUCUCCCUCUUCCGCCGCCACCUCCAGAGAAACCAGAUCCUCCCAUUGUCACUCUGGAUGAUCUAUUUUGGAAAACCAAAGCAACUCCUCGGAUCUACUAUUUGCCUUUGUCAGAUG